AUGGUGCCCUCUCCGGCUGGUCGAUCGCUGCCGCAGCCACUGAUGGAACAGUGCUCCUACUGUGCCGGGCGCGUGAGCGCCAUUAAUCCGAAACGUGAAGCCUGUCGGUCAUUUUGUCCGCUACCACAUCUUUCGCUGUGCGCUUUGCUUCGGAUGCUCGUCGCCUGCACGGAAACUGGGGCACGAUGCAUGCCCUCUGACCCCGGUGAUCCGCCCACACCCACACCACACCCGGGGAACUGCGCGCCCGUUUUUCAAAUUUUGUCUUCCUGGGAGGCUGGGCACCACUCUCAAUUUUAUAGGUCUCUGGCGCCGCUCGUGAAUUCCAGUACUACUAUACCUCAUUUCUGA
RNAcentral lists this ribosomal RNA (351 nucleotides) under Triticum aestivum (bread wheat). RNAcentral's name for it is "partial small subunit ribosomal RNA". Lineage: Eukaryota; Viridiplantae; Streptophyta; Magnoliopsida; Poales; Poaceae. The record is from RNAcentral.